AGAGUUUGAUCAUGGCUCAGAAUGAACGCUGGCGGCGUGCUUAACACAUGCAAGUCGCACGAGAACGUUUCAGCUUGCUGAAAUUAGUAAAGUGGCGCACGGGUGAGUAACGCGUGGGUAAUCUACCUCCGAAUUGGGGAUAACAUUGCGAAAGCGAUGCUAAUACCGGAUAACAUCUUAAAAGCUUCGGUUUUAAAGAUCAAAGGUGGCCUCUACAUGUAAGCUUCUGUUUGGAGAUGAGCCCGCGUACCAUUAGCUUGUUGGUAGGGUAAUGGCCUACCAAGGCUACGAUGGUUAGCUGGUCUGAGAGGAUGAUCAGCCACACUGGAACUGACACACGGUCCAGACUCCUACGGGAGGCAGCAGUGAGGAAUUUUGCGCAAUGGGGGAAACCCUGACGCAGCAACGCCGCGUGAGUGAUGAAGGCUUUCGGGUCGUAAAGCUCUGUCAAGUGAGAAGAACCCACAUGGUGAUAAUACCACUAUGUGCUGACGGUAUCACUAAAGGAAGCACCGGCUAACUCCGUGCCAGCAGCCGCGGUAAUACGGGGGGUGCAAGCGUUAUUCGGAAUUACUGGGCGUAAAGGGCGCGCAGGCGGUCUUUUAAGUCAGAUGUGAAAGCCCGGGGCUCAACCCCGGAAGUGCAUUUGAAACUAAGGGACUUGAGUAUGGGAGAGGGAAGUGGAAUUCCUGGUGUAGC
Molecule: ribosomal RNA, 699 nt
Filed under: uncultured Desulfobacterales bacterium
Lineage: Bacteria; Pseudomonadati; Thermodesulfobacteriota; Desulfobacteria; Desulfobacterales
Description: bacterial SSU rRNA
Rfam family: Bacterial small subunit ribosomal RNA
Source: RNAcentral